This 171-nucleotide ribosomal RNA is filed under the name uncultured Leptolinea sp. RNAcentral's name for it is "partial 16S ribosomal RNA". It matches the Rfam family "Bacterial small subunit ribosomal RNA", at positions 1212 to 1382 of the family's 1533-position model. The record is from RNAcentral. Lineage: Bacteria; Bacillati; Chloroflexota; Anaerolineae; Anaerolineales; Anaerolineaceae.
GGCUACACACACGCUACAAUGGCCAACACAAUAGGUUGCUAAGCCGCGAGGUGGCGCCAACCCAUAAAGUUGGUCUCAGUUCAGAUUGUAGGCUGCAACCCGCCUGCAUGAAGAUGGAGUUGCUAGUAACCGCAGGUCAGCUAUACUGCGGUGAAUACGUUCCCGGGGCUU